This 200-nucleotide ribosomal RNA is filed under the name uncultured bacterium. Its description in RNAcentral is "partial 16S ribosomal RNA". It matches the Rfam family "Bacterial small subunit ribosomal RNA", at positions 8 to 198 of the family's 1533-position model. The record is from RNAcentral.
AGAGUUUGAUCCUGGCUCAGGACAAACGCUGGCGGCGUGCGUAACACAUGCAAGUCGGACGAGGCUUGAGCGCCUUUCGGGGAGCUUGAGUGCGAGUGGCGGACGGGUGAGUAACACGUGGAUAACCUGCCCUGGUGUGGGGGAUACCCUGUAGAAAUACGGGCUAAUACCGCAUGAGCUGGACUGUGGGGAGCUGCAGG